Neodiprion fabricii is the source of this 3163-nucleotide long non-coding RNA. RefSeq lists it as uncharacterized. NCBI's taxonomy places the organism in Eukaryota, Metazoa, Arthropoda, Insecta, Hymenoptera, Diprionidae. The record is from RefSeq and is a predicted model, not a curated record. The transcript has 3 exons.
CUAACCUAACGUAACGUAACCUGAGCUAAGGUAACCUAACCAUCACUAUUCUACAAGUUUCAUGACAGUAGAGCUAAACACAGAGAUCAUAUUGAAGUUAGUAACGUUACCGUAACGAUUCAUGCUGAGGAAAACCGUUAUUUCGUGAUUUUGGAAUUGUCUGACGUUGAGUAAACCGUAAUAAAAGAAAACACACUCAUAUUUCGAAACCUUGGUUGCUUUAAAGUCGUAGUGACAUUAAGAAAAUAGUGAUUUUUUUCUCCAAUGUUUCGUUACGACAACCUUGCUAACUUCAACGUCGUAAAGAGAGUGCAGGUUUCUUAUGCACCUGUUCUCGUUCGUUUUCUUAUUUUCAUUUCUCACGACUGCGCUGCACCUCGACACGACGAAUGAAGGACGUUAUACGGAUAAUAAUCAGCGUAAACAGUCGCGACAAACACGUAAAUACGUCGAAUGGGUGCUUAACAGUUGCGAGAAAGGCGUUUAGUCAAGACCCGACGUUUAAAAGCAGAGGAAUCGCAGCUUCUUUUUCUCAAUAAUGAUUUUCAUGCAAAACGGCAAACAGAAUUCCUGGUUCCUUUGUCUUAUGGAGUAAAGUGCACUACAGAUCAGUUCCCGAUAUCCUUCGGCAAGUAGUCACUAAAUACUUAGCAACGAUUGUCUAGGAAUGACGGUGAUUGCGCAUAGACGUAAAUCGAGAACUUGACUAGACGAUCCAUGGGAUAAUUGAGAAAACUUUGGGAAGCGCGAAAGAACGAUGAUGUGAGUGAAGUUGGUCGAGUUUUGGUUGAAUCGGUCAACGCGAUGACAAGUGAGGCUCGACUCGCUGCAACGUUCGGACAUGCUUUGCAAUCAAUCGAGCAGCGAGAGUCCUGUACUACUACUUAACACACCGAUCCGAAUGAAGAACAAACAAAUGGGGAUGAAAAAAACGCGGAUUAACUAAAAGGAGCGUGAUUUACGACAGCACAACGAAACCGAUAAAAACUGAGAACUGUAUUAUCGCCUGCCUGCCCGCCUGGCUGUAGCUGGUCCUCCUCCUCAUUCCGGCACUUUGGUCACCAUAUCAUUGAACAACGACGAUCGGUGGGCGCUAAGCGGCUCGGAGGCGAGAGCAACUGAGACUUGUCUACCAACUCCGGACACUGCGCUGGCUCGACUGAAACUGGUUGAGAAACGGGCGCCCGGCGCCCCCACUUCGAGGGGCCCUGAUUCGUCCGUUUCCGUAUCGCUUCGGGCGGCUUCGGCUCGGCCUCGUCUCCCCCACGUGACCCCGCUAACGGCUUCCUCCCCUCCCCGCCAGCGUCGGUCGUUCCAGGGAGCGAAUCGCACGGGCCAGGGACGACGCUCACAGGAAAUAGACAGGCGAGGGCCACUCGAUUCUGGGCGAGUGUUUAGUCGGUAGGAAGGUACAGCCGACAGCCGGGCCGACGUGCACAGUCGAACCCCUUUGGCUGGUCGGAAUUCGAUGAUGGAUAAUCCGGCGGAUUUUACGAGGCGAAGCUUCCGAGCAACUGGCUUUUCGAAAGCCCGUCGAGAUUAAUUUUAUUUGCAAAAGUCCGUGUUGUCCGAAAGAAUUAUCGAACUAACCCUUGUGCCGCACACCAAGGUCAGAAUGAAAUAGGUAAAGGGUAUCCCAUAAUUUUUUCAACUUAUUCGAAUCGAUGUCUACGUUUCUGCGCAAUUACUUUUGGUAUGGGGUAUCCAGCAGAGGUAUUAUACACGGGCGGUGUGCAGCGUAAGGGUUGAUAUUGAAUUCGAACUUUGCUAGUGACGACGAGGGAAAAAGUCACAUCAGCCUACCAUAUCUUUUCACCGAAACAUCCGUAUUAGUUCCUACGAUUCGAAUGAAAAGUAGCUGUUUUUGUGUACGAACGAAUUUCCCACAAAUGACCUACUUGUGAAGCAGUCAUUUACGAUUGAAAUUGGCUAUUGUUUGUCAGAAUAGAGAAACGAACUGUACGAAUGUUUCGGUGAAAUUGUAGUAUAGUAAUUAGGUUUCUCUAUCUCUGUUGAAAAAAAAGGUGUUUAUAAUUGAAAUCCAGCGUUUUAAACUUCUUCACUGGAACAGAUUCGUUGACACAUUUUAUACCCUUAUUUUGUCACGUUUUUGUUUGAAUAUCUUUCUUUGAUCUCACUGUACGCCCGAACGUAAUUAAUGACAACGCGUUGCGAGGCCUCAAAUUAUUGGAGUUUAAACGGCAGAAGGGACGUACGAUUACAGACAAUUGGGCACAUCACCUGAUCAUGACAGGAAUUGAAACCUCGGAAAAAAUGUCCCGAUUGGUAUUUUCCAAACAACAUUCACCGCACAGGCAGUUCUCUCGGCUGUUUGGACGAGGUUCAGCGAAAUCGCGAGCUUCGCGCAGUUGGCAUCGAUAUUCGAAAAGUCAUAGAAUUUGCAUUCUUCUAAAAGGACUAACUUGCAAACCACGUGACAUUACCAUCGGUCGUUAAAAGCGUCGUGAAUACAAUACACUUGCUAUGGUUCAGUAAUUACUCGAGCUCUUUAACGGGCCAAAAAUCCCUAGACGAUGACAAUCAAAUUGGAUCGUUCUAACCUUGCCCAAUUUAUGGUGAAACGAUUUAUGGUUAAUGGGUUGGAUCGUUGAGACGAUGGUUCGACUGUAUAACCAACUGGCAAGGCAAUGCGCGUGUAUGCUUCUUUUGUCGACAAUUUCGAGGGGGCGAGAGAAGGGGGAUGAACGGAGGGACGGGCCUCUGACUGUGCGGUGUAUCUAGCGCUUUGUAUAUGAACACCCAUUCGGUCCUCCGCGUCCGCCAUAAAAUACUUAAAUUAAAUUAUAUCAGCGGAUCAACGUGCUUCUGUGUAGGUUGCACGCAUAUUGUCAAUUGAGCGUAGACGCACCCAGGUAUCAAGGUUAAUUUUUCUUUCUUUCGAAGCAUGCGGGGGAGAAAUCGGAAUCAACCAUAACGUGGGUUACACGGUUGUUUGACCUCUGAUAAUUUCAAUAUCCAAUUAUUCGGUAAUCCUUUUUCAUAUGUAACACCUUACACACGGUGUACAGUGUUCUUGAAAACUAUCCUUGAAUUUUUCUUGUGUCCUGGAAAUAUUCUAUUUUCAAUGUCCCUGAAUAACCUGAAGAUGUUCUUUAAUUUGAAACAGAUUUUUUACUGAACACCAUGUUAUAAUGUCAUGCUG